RNAcentral lists this ribosomal RNA (388 nucleotides) under uncultured bacterium. RNAcentral's name for it is "bacterial SSU rRNA". It matches the Rfam family "Bacterial small subunit ribosomal RNA", at positions 28 to 417 of the family's 1533-position model. The record is from RNAcentral.
GACGAACGCUGGCGGCGUGCUUAACACAUGCAAGUCGAGCGGUAAGGCCCUUUCGGGGGUACACGAGCGGCGAACGGGUGAGUAACACGUGGGUGACCUGCCCUCAGCUCUGGGAUAAGCCUGGGAAACUGGGUCUAAUACCGGAUAUGACUCCAUGACGCAUGUUGUGGGGUGGAAAGCCUUGUGCGGCUGAGGAUGGGCCCGCGGCCUAUCAGCUUGUUGGUGGGGCGANGGCCUACCAAGGCGACGACGGGUAGCCGGCCUGAGAGGGCGACCGGCCACACUGGGACUGAGACACGGCCCAGACUCCUACGGGAGGCAGCAGUGGGGAAUCUUGCGCAAUGGGCGAAAGCCUGACGCAGCGACGCCGCGUGAGGGAUGACGGCCU